CUAUAAAUAACAAAUUUUGAG
Non-coding RNA from Caenorhabditis elegans, 21 nucleotides. The record is from Ensembl. NCBI's taxonomy places the organism in Eukaryota, Metazoa, Nematoda, Chromadorea, Rhabditida, Rhabditidae.